RNAcentral lists this ribosomal RNA (253 nucleotides) under uncultured bacterium. RNAcentral's name for it is "partial 16S ribosomal RNA". It matches the Rfam family "Bacterial small subunit ribosomal RNA", at positions 524 to 776 of the family's 1533-position model. The record is from RNAcentral.
UACGGAGGGUGCAAACGUUGCUCGGAAUCAUUGGGCGUAAAGCGCACGUAGGCGGCCCGUUAAGUCGGAUGUGAAAUCCCUCGGCUCAACCGAGGACGUGCAUUCGAUACUGGCAGGCUUGAAUAUGGAAGAGGGUCGCGGAAUUCCCGGUGUAGAGGUGAAAUUCGUAGAUAUCGGGAGGAACACCAGUGGCGAAGGCGGCGACCUGGGCCAAUAUUGACGCUGAGGUGCGAAAGCGUGGGGAGCAAACAGG